UAUGAUCUCCCCCAGACAUACGCAAUGCUUUAGCUAAUACACGGAAAUGCAUACCAUGAUUUUUCUGUCUAUCAAUAACUGCAUGCAUUGCACGGUGAAUGUGAAGAAGUAGGCCAUUGGCGCGGCAAUAAUGAGCCAAAGUAGUAUUUGCGGUGAAUCCCCCAGUUAAGUAGUCAUGCAUUACAAUAGGAACCCCUAAUUCUCUUGCAAAUACAGCUCUCUUAAUCAUUUCUUCACAUGUACCCGCAGUCGCAUUCAAGUAAUGCCCCUUGAUUUCACCGGUUUCGGCCUGUGAUUUAUAAAUA
Molecule: long non-coding RNA, 305 nt
Filed under: Triticum aestivum (bread wheat)
Lineage: Eukaryota; Viridiplantae; Streptophyta; Magnoliopsida; Poales; Poaceae
Description: long non-coding RNA (TAES_LNC009232)
Source: RNAcentral